Spinacia oleracea (spinach) is the source of this 749-nucleotide long non-coding RNA. RefSeq lists it as uncharacterized. NCBI's taxonomy places the organism in Eukaryota, Viridiplantae, Streptophyta, Magnoliopsida, Caryophyllales, Amaranthaceae. The record is from RefSeq and is a predicted model, not a curated record. The transcript has 5 exons.
UGUCUCUCUCAAAACUUUGGAGUUCCCCGCGCUCAACUCUUCCCUCAGUUUUCAAUUCCCUCCGUCGUCGUCGAACUCAGAGCUUGCCCGGUCCUGCGCCGCCAUCGAACUCAGCUUGCUCGGAUCCGCCGUCACUCUCCUCGCCGGUGAGUGUCUUUCCUCGCUUCCUCGCCACCCGUCGCGUCCUGUACGUUCUCCGCGCUGAACCAUGACUGACAUAGUCGCUGAAAACUCAGCUAGCUCGGCCGGUGGUUCCAAGAAAGAACGGUCUGUUCUUCGGUGCUUGCUCGGCCGUCAAUCUAAUCGCCACAACAACUGCCUGCAGGAAUCUAUCAUCGUGCUUGUCUGGAUUUCAACAACUGCAUUAAGGCUUCUAUUUUGUUGUUGACACCAGCAUUUGCAAGGCUUAUUUUGCGACUUAAUCUUCAGCCUCCUGAAUUUGUUACUGUCACCGUUGGUUUUUUUCCAAGGAAGUGAAAAAGGUGGACAUGCUGACAGAUGACUUGGUCUAUAUUACGAGGAAUGCGCCUUAUGCUAGUGAGGAAAUUGAUGUGGUUCCUGAGCAAUGGGCUAAGUUUUUUACCAGCAAGUAUUUAUUAUUGGCCUGAGCGCGUUUGAUCGAGUUGGCUUAGAUGUUAUAGAACAAUCUUUUAUAUUAAAAUGUAUGCGUACGUUGAAAUUGGAACGUACAUAUUUUUGAAUGUACUACAUGCACUUUGUUUUGGGAUAUAUAAUAUACAAAACACCAG